This 389-nucleotide long non-coding RNA is filed under the name Apteryx rowi (Okarito brown kiwi). RNAcentral describes it as "lncRNA (ENSARWG00000012637.1)". The record is from RNAcentral. Lineage: Eukaryota; Metazoa; Chordata; Aves; Apterygiformes; Apterygidae.
AUAGAAAGUGUCCGACUCGCUUUGGCGCUACGCUUUCACAUUCAAUUUAAUUAUCGCCUUCAUUUUAAAUAAUUUGUCAAGCAGUAUGUGUAAGCACAACUCAAACAUGCUGUGUUUGACUUUUAUUACAGCUGUGUGAGCCCAGAUGUUUAUCACAGAAGCAAACAGAAAUGGAAAAAGGAAUGCGAACAUCAGAGAUGGAGAAGAUCUGGCGAGAAGAAAUUCCUUUUUUCCUGCACUGAAUCUUCCACUUCUCUCCAAACCUGCGCUCUGCUCUGCUCGUCUGUUCCUAGUGUGCCUUUCCAUAAGACUGGCUCCUGCCUGAGGCAGGCGAAGUCUGCUUUCAGCUGAAACUUCAAGAAGAAAAAUUGCGUCAUCUUUGAAAAUGU